GGCCACAAUUCUUCUUCUUCCCUGAAAAACCCCAAAGGAAGAAGAGAAAAGCCUCUCAGAUCUCAUCUUAAACCCUUUCUUUUCUCUUAUACUCGCCUUACCCAUGGCUCUACUCGUUGAGAAGACCACCUCUGGCCGCGAGUACAAGGUGAAGGACAUGUCUCAGGCUGACUUCGGCAGGCUCGAAAUCGAGCUUGCUGAAGUUGAAAUGCCUGGUCUCAUGGCUUCACGUGCUGAAUUUGGCCCUUCACAGCCCUUUAAAGGUGCAAAGAUCACUGGAUCUCUGCAUAUGACUAUCCAAACUGCUGUCCUUAUUGAAACCCUAACUGCUUUGGGUGCUGAAGUUAGAUGGUGUUCUUGCAACAUCUUCUCAACUCAGGACCAUGCUGCAGCAGCCAUUGCACGUGACAGUGCUGCUGUCUUUGCCUGGAAAGGUGAGACUUUGCAGGAGUACUGGUGGUGUACUGAGAGGGCACUUGACUGGGGUCCAGGUGGUGGUCCUGAUCUGAUUGUUGAUGAUGGAGGUGAUGCUACUCUGUUGAUUCAUGAGGGAGUUAAGGCUGAAGAGGAGUUUGCUAAGAAUGGAACAGUCCCAGAUCCCACUUCUACUGACAAUGUUGAGUUUCAACUUGUGCUUACUAUUAUUAAGGAGAGCUUAAAGACUGAUCCAUUAAGGUACACUAAGAUGAAGGAGAGACUUGUUGGUGUUUCUGAGGAAACUACCACUGGUGUUAAGAGGCUUUACCAAAUGCAGGCUAAUGGAUCUUUGCUUUUUCCUGCUAUCAAUGUUAAUGACUCUGUUACCAAGAGCAAGUUUGACAACUUGUAUGGAUGCCGCCACUCACUUCCCGAUGGUCUCAUGAGGGCUACUGAUGUUAUGAUUGCUGGAAAGGUUGCUCUUGUUGCUGGUUAUGGAGAUGUCGGCAAGGGAUGUGCUGCUGCCAUGAAACAAGCUGGUGCCCGUGUGAUUGUGACUGAGAUUGACCCAAUCUGUGCUCUCCAGGCUACCAUGGAAGGCCUCCAGGUUCUUCCUCUUGAGGAUGUUGUUUCUGAGGUUGAUAUCUUUGUGACCACCACCGGUAACAAGGACAUCAUCAUGGUUGAUCACAUGAGGAAGAUGAAGAACAAUGCCAUUGUUUGCAACAUUGGUCACUUUGAUAAUGAAAUUGAUAUGCAUGGACUUGAAAACUACCCUGGUGUGAAGCGCAUCACCAUCAAGCCCCAGACUGAUAGGUGGGUGUUCCC
This 1245-nucleotide unclassified non-coding RNA is filed under the name Hevea brasiliensis (rubber tree). Lineage: Eukaryota; Viridiplantae; Streptophyta; Magnoliopsida; Malpighiales; Euphorbiaceae. The record is from RNAcentral.